GUAUUCCCAUCAGUAUUUGGUUUGUUAUCCGGAUUUGUUUCAGUUAAAUCGAUUUGUGACCAUUGAACAGCGGUAUACUACUGUUGCCUUUAUACAAUACAUUUUGACACAAAUUAUUAAAAAGAUCUACGGAAUUUAAUUUAUACCCCCUUUUUAUCUUAAUGUUGUAUGUUUCCUGAUUUUAAGUAGUUAUAGAGACAUUAUGUUCUUAUUACAUGUAUGUUACAUUUGUAAGUGUUUUGAUUUUGGUUGGUUGCAUUUAUUAUCCUUUGAGAAAAGAGAGGUAUACGAUCUGUCGUUCAAUAUGCAAGACAGUUUAAUUGAGUUUUCCUCUUGUUUGAAAGCGUUUUAUGAUAUAUUAUUCUCUAUUCUAAUGCAAUUUGUAUGUUACCUUAUGGAACUCCUUUUUUUUCUUUUUUUCUUUUGUUCUUUUGUUCUUAUUUUCUUUACUUCAAUAC
Molecule: long non-coding RNA, 458 nt
Filed under: Mytilus galloprovincialis (Mediterranean mussel)
Lineage: Eukaryota; Metazoa; Mollusca; Bivalvia; Mytilida; Mytilidae
Source: RNAcentral